Molecule: ribosomal RNA, 293 nt
Filed under: uncultured bacterium
Lineage: Bacteria
Description: partial 16S ribosomal RNA
Rfam family: Bacterial small subunit ribosomal RNA
Source: RNAcentral
UUGGACAUGGGCGAAGCCUGAUCCAGCCAUGCCGCGUGUGUGAAGAAGGUCUUCGGAUUGUAAAGCACUUUAAGUUGGGAGGAAGGGCAGUAAGUUAAUACCUUGCUGUUUUGACGUUACCAACAGAAUAAGCACCGGCUAACUUCGUGCCAGCAGCCGCGGUAAUACGAAGGGUGCAAGCGUUAAUCGGAAUUACUGGGCGUAAAGCGCGCGUAGGUGGUUCAGCAAGUUGGAGGUGAAAUCCCCGGGCUCAACCUGGGAACUGCCUCCAAAACUACUGAGCUAGAGUACGG